RNAcentral lists this ribosomal RNA (452 nucleotides) under uncultured bacterium. Its description in RNAcentral is "bacterial SSU rRNA". It matches the Rfam family "Bacterial small subunit ribosomal RNA", at positions 29 to 524 of the family's 1533-position model. The record is from RNAcentral.
AGCGAACGCUGGCGGCAGGCUUAACACAUGCAAGUCGAGCGGGCGUAGCAAUACGUCAGCGGCAGACGGGUGAGUAACGCGUGGGAACAUACCUUUUGGUUCGGAACAACACAGGGAAACUUGUGCUAAUACCGGAUAAGCCCUUACGGGGAAAGAUUUAUCGCCGAAAGAUUGGCCCGCGUCUGAUUAGCUUGUUGGUGAGGUAAUGGCUCACCAAGGCGACGAUCAGUAGCUGGUCUGAGAGGAUGAUCAGCCACAUUGGGACUGAGACACGGCCCAAACUCCUACGGGAGGCAGCAGUGGGGAAUAUUGGACAAUGGGCGCAAGCCUGAUCCAGCCAUGCCGCGUGAGUGAUGAAGGCCCUAGGGUUGUAAAGCUCUUUUGUGCGGGAAGAUAAUGACGGUACCGCAAGAAUAAGCCCCGGCUAACUUCGUGCCAGCAGCCGCCGUAAC